GAUGAACGCUAGCGGCAGGCCUAAUACAUGCAAGUCGGACGGGAUCCAUUGAUAGCUUGCUAUCAAUGGUGAGAGUGGCGCACGGGUGCGUAACGCGUGAGCAACCUGCCUCCAUCAGGGGGAUAGCCUCUCGAAAGAGAGAUUAACACCGCAUAAUAUCAACAGUUCGCAUGUUCAGUUGAUUAAAUAUUUAUAGGAUGGAGAUGGGCUCGCGUGACAUUAGCUAGUUGGUAGGGUAACGGCUUACCAAGGCGACGAUGUCUAGGGGCUCUGAGAGGAGAAUCCCCCACACUGGUACUGAGACACGGACCAGACUCCUACGGGAGGCAGCAGUAAGGAAUAUUGGUCAAUGGGCGGAAGCCUGAACCAGCCAUGCCGCGUGCAGAAUGACUGCCCUAUGGGUUGUAAACUGCUUUUGUCCAGGAAUAAACCUAAAUACGAGUAUUUAGCUGAAUGUACUGGAAGAAUAAGGAUCGGCUAACUCCGUG
Molecule: ribosomal RNA, 488 nt
Filed under: uncultured bacterium
Lineage: Bacteria
Description: partial 16S ribosomal RNA
Rfam family: Bacterial small subunit ribosomal RNA
Source: RNAcentral